UACGGAGGGUGCAAGCGUUAUCCGGAUUCACUGGGUUUAAAGGGUGCGUAGGUGGGUUGGUAAGUCAGUGGUGAAAUCUCCGAGCUUAACUUGGAAACUGCCAUUGAUACUAUUAGUCUUGAAUAUUGUGGAGGUCAGCGGAAUAUGUCAUGUAGCGGUGAAAUGCUUAGAGAUGACAUAGAACACCAAUUGCGAAGGCAGCUGGCUACACAUAUAUUGACACUGAGGCACGAAAGCGUGGGGAGCAAACAGG
RNAcentral lists this ribosomal RNA (253 nucleotides) under uncultured bacterium. RNAcentral's name for it is "partial 16S ribosomal RNA". It matches the Rfam family "Bacterial small subunit ribosomal RNA", at positions 524 to 776 of the family's 1533-position model. The record is from RNAcentral.